Molecule: RNA transcript, 5359 nt
Organism: Gadus chalcogrammus (walleye pollock)
Lineage: Eukaryota; Metazoa; Chordata; Actinopteri; Gadiformes; Gadidae
Gene: wdr26a
Gene name: WD repeat domain 26a
Exons: 15
Source: RefSeq, a predicted model, not a curated record
GAAUUUCCGGUGACGUCGCUGCGCAGCGAGCCCAUAACAGGUCUGCAGCUGUCUGAGAGCAACAAUAACAAGACGAGCUAAGCGGUCCGAAGGGGUUUUAUACCUCGACAUACGAUUAAGGCACUACUUACAGCAGAAAUCGAACCAAAUACAGGCAAAUAUGUGGUUGUCGAAAUAACUCUGGCCUAGGCUUCUUUAUUCCCCGACUCGGUGGGACGUCGUUGGGCACCGCGGAAGAAACGACCGAGAUUCGGUCCUACGAGGAGUAGCGGAGCUCUGGGCUGCAACUGGGUCAGUGGGCCUCUCGGUUGUUAAGUUGGGGAUCUCUGUUUCCCCAUUUCCCCGUAGUACCUUCCGUUCUUUUGGAUCCGCAUAUUGUCACCCGUAUAACAUACACCAGUACCAUGCAGGCCAACGGGGCAGGACAGGACCCAGGUUCAGAGCUGUCCUGCCGUACCAGUGCGCAGAACGGCGAGGGGUCGUCCGCUGGGGGAGCUCACGCCAAUGGACUCGUCUCAGUCACAAACAAUGGAAACUCUGUCACUGACAACAACGGCCUGUCGGACCAAGCCGAGGAGUCCAACAACGCCAACGACGUCAAUUCCACCGUGAAGAAGAAGAAGCGUCUCUCGCAGUCCGAGGAAGACGUCAUCAGGCUAAUAGGGCAGCAUCUCCACGACCUGGGGCUGAAUCAAACGGUAGACAUGCUCAUGCAGGAGUCGGGCUGUCGCCUGGAGCAUCCCUCCGCCACCAAGUUCAGGAAUCACGUCAUGGAAGGAGAGUGGGACAAGGCUGAGAGUGACCUGAAUGAGCUGAAGGCAUUGAUGCAUUCUCCCAGUGCAAUCGUGCGUAUGAAGUUUCUGCUGCUGCAGCAGAAGUAUCUGGAGUACCUGGAGGACGGCAAGGUUCUGGAGGCCCUGCAGGUUCUCCGGGCUGAGCUCACGCCCCUGCAGUACAACACAGAGCGGAUCCACGUCCUGAGCGGAUACCUGAUGUGCAGCAACGCUGAGGACCUGAAAGCUAAAGCCGAGUGGGAAGGCAAGGGCAGCCCCUCCCGUACGAAGCUGCUGGACAAACUACAGACCUACCUGCCUCCCUCGGUGAUGCUUCCCCCCCGCAGGCUGCAGAACCUGCUGCGUCAGGCAGUGGAGCUGCAGAGAGAACGCUGUCUCUACCACAACACUAAGAUGGACAGCGGCAUGGACGCCGUCUCCCUGCUCCUCGACCACGCCUGCAGCAGGAAACAGUUCCCCUGCUACACCCAGCAGGUCCUCACUGAGCACUGCAACGAGGUGUGGUUCUGCAAGUUCUCCACCGACGGCACCAAGCUGGCCACGGGAUCCAAAGACACGACAGUGAUCGUAUGGCAGGUUGACCCCGAGAGCCACCAGCUGAAACUGUUGAAGACCCUGGAGGGACACGCUUACGGUGUGUCCUACUUGGCGUGGAGCCCCGACGAUGUCUACUUGAUCGCUUGUGGCCCGGAUGACUGCUCUGAGCUUUGGCUGUGGAAUGUACAGACAGGGGAGCUGCGGACCAAGAUGAGCCAGUCUCACGAGGACAGCCUGACCAGCGUUGCCUGGAAUCCAGAUGGCAAGCGCUUCGUCACGGGGGGCCAGAGAGGCCAGUUCUACCAGUGUGACCUGGAUGGGAACCUGCUGGACUCGUGGGAGGGCGUGCGUGUCCAGUGCCUGUGGUGCCUCGGCGACGGCAGGACCGUGCUCGCGUCCGACACGCACCAGCGCAUCCGCGCCUACAACUUUGAGGACCUGACGGACAGAAACAUAGUGCAAGAGGACCAUCCAGUUAUGUCUUUCACUGUCUCCAAGAACGGGAGGCUAGCACUGCUGAACGUUGCUACUCAGGGAGUCCACUUAUGGGACCUGCAGGACCGUGUGCUUGUGAGAAAGUAUCAAGGUGUGACCCAAGGAUUCUACACCAUCCAUUCCUGCUUUGGAGGACACAAUGAAGACUUUAUUGCCAGUGGAAGUGAAGACCACAAAGUUUACAUAUGGCACCGGCGCAGCGAGCUGCCCGUCGCAGAGCUGUCGGGCCACACACGCACUGUCAACUGUGUGAGCUGGAACCCCGUUGUGCCGGGCCUGCUGGCCAGCGCCUCCGACGACGGGACAGUCCGGAUCUGGGGGCCCGCCCCUUUCCAGGACGUCCAGGACACAGAUGGGCCGAAUGUACUCUUUUGGAAAUGGCAUAAGCAGCAAGCAAAUCGAGAAAGCUGCGUAACGAGUUCUUCACUCGCCUGGAUAUUAUGAAACGAGGCAAACAGGUUUUGCUUGUUUCAAUCUGAAGCAGUCCACAAUACUCCCAACAACCAAAGAAAUUAAAAAGCAGUAGCAUGGACAGCUGAUGGUUGGCACCCAUCUUGAGGACCUGCUUUUCCCCUUGACGUCACGGGUAGGGAGAGAGCGUCGAGACUCCGUUAAAGACUCUUGAAGCUAAGAGACCUUUUUUUUUUUUUUUACAGCUGCCUCCCGGAGGCAGGGCCACUGGUGCUGUUAGCUGGGCCGUGACAUCACACGGAGAUGUCAAAAAGUACAAGAAGAAAAACAAAAAGAAAGAGUCAAGCCCAUUCAAGUCGGAAGCCUGGGUAAGCAGGAAUCUAAAAAACGGCAUCAGGCGCCACCUCCUGUCUGGCAUUUGGUCCCUUUCCCUCUAAAUGAACCACCCAUCUACCAUCGAUCCACCUUUCAGAAUUAUUUAUUAUCGAUGAUAUUAUUUAUUCUCCUGAUUAAUCCCUUGAGUGGUUCACGUUGGCUGCUGAGUAGCAGUGCGUGGCGCAGGUGUUUUUUCGUCGCAACCUCAUUUGUUGUUCUGAGAUUCAUCGCUGGCAGCGACUCAAUGGCACGGCCAUCCUGGCUUUUCCCCCCACCUCUAUCCAACGGGAGAGAGAGAUUUUAAUUGGAUGUAAUACUCCCUGAAGAAAAUCGUUGAAAACCUUAUUUUAAUGUUUUUGUGCAUUUUAACCCUAGUCAUUUGUUGAAUUUUGUGUGAUUUAGCAUUCUUUUUUUUGAAGGGGAUUGGGGCUGGGGUUGGGGGAGUUAACGUGAGUAUAAGGUAUAACAAAUCUGCAGAAGAGCUCCAAUCUGGGUUAACGGGUCAUUCCACUUUCUUUUGCCUCAAAUUUAUUACAACCAAUCAUGUUGCUCGAUGCUGGGAUUUGCAGCCAUGGACUACAUGAAAUGGAUCACUACUGGAAACAACCUUACCAGCGGAAACACAACAAACGUGAUAUGGCUGAACAUUGAUCUUGGAUCUAGAAGAGGAUUGAUAACUUCAACGAAAGAAUCGUUGUCGUAUCCCUCCUUGGACAACAGUGAACACAAACUCUGCAGCAAACUCAUCUUAUCUGCCAACUGGUUGUCGGUCAAGCUAAAAUGUCCUGUCCAGACACCAACCUCCUUAGACAAAGUGUCUGGAAAGUUUAAAGAUCGAACCUGUGUAGUGUACUGGCUACUGGAGGAAUACAUUUGUUUCUUGCCCCCUGAUGAGUUUCCCUUUGGAAGAAUAGCUCCGUUAAACACAUGACACACCGGCCCUCACCCUCUCUGGGUUCCCAGAAGUCCGGCUAUAGCGUAGUUGAAGUUCUGGAUCCGAGAUUAGGUGAGCGGUUCCGUGCCGUGUUUUACAGCAGUGUUGUAUGUCUGUGAUAUACCUGUUGAAGCAUGUACAGUGGGUUUAGCUUCCUUCUAAGAGUUAUUUAGGAGCUGUCGCUGUCGUCGUGGAAUAUAAAAAGAGCUAUAAUUGGAAAAGGAUGAUCUGUUUUUACUCGGCUGUUAACCUUACCCUCUGCACUGUGGGGUUGGCUAUUUAUGAUAAUGCUGUUUUGUCAUCCUGGUCUGUUUGUGAGCCAUAGUACUUCCCUCGUCAUCAUCACCCCUGACACUUUCUCCUUGCCUUCGGUGAGUGUGUAUGUGUGCCCUUCCUCCAACAACAUCUUUUUAUUUUGCUUGUGUCUUUCUCGUUCUCCUCAUUUACAGGAUUUUAUUUGUAUUUUUAAUCACAAGAUGUCUGUGUUAAACUUAUAUAAUGUAUUGAAAUCUUUAUCACAUUUAGAUGGCCACAUUCAUUUCAUCAGUCAUCGUCUCCACUCAGGUGGAGUUAAAUAGCAUCAGUUGAUCACAUUGCACAUUUGGUACACGUGUGUCAUUCCUAUAUAUGAAUUUGUACAAAGUGGGUCCCUUAGGAGAUUGAGACCCACAGCCCUACCAGUUAUGGUGUUCUUUGUAGUAUGUGCUGUAUAUUUCUAUGUUAUGGCAUGUAUUAUGAGGCUGCUGCUGUUGCAGGCAGAUCUUCACUGCAUUAGAAAAUGUGCCUGCUCAGAGGGCAUACGAGCCACCAGCAAUCUGUCACUGAACAUUACACACAUUAGUGGUACACACAAAAGGUAGACGUACCUGCAUACAAUAUCAAACACUAAAAGAAUCACAGAUAUGGUGUACUAGGUUGUGCUUAUGCAAGGUUUCUUUUUAUGUUUACUUUAGAAUAAUUUGGGGGCUACAUGUGUUUUUUCUUUCCUUUGUGGUAAGCGUUAUUGGCAAAAGCUUAAAAAAUGACAUUCGUGGUCAGGUUUGCAAGAAUUCAUUUUACAUUUAAAUGUAUUAAUUAAAUGAUUGUACUGUUACGUAUUGUGUAGGAGAAGUGUUAUGUAUGCAUAUUUUCAAUAAAGCAUUCAGGGUUUUAAAGUGUGUUAAAAACACAUAAUUAAGUGUCCACUCGUGUUGGUCGACGGUGCCAUCCGACUAUCCAUUUAGGGUUUUGAAUGCACAUGCCAUUUUGAGUGGUCAUGAAUUUCACAAUCACUCCGCUCUAAUUUGCAGGCUGCAUCUGUUUGAACAUAUAAAUCAAACAAAACGAUUCAAUCUCACAUUCAAAUUUAUUAAACUCCAAAUGGUGAACUGUUGUGAGCCAAUUACAAAUGGGAAUGAACUUGAACAAUUGAAGAACACUGCAGAUCAGUUCAAGCAGUCAGUUAUAGUCUCAACAAAACACCCGCAGGUCUGUGAAUACUGAUGCUUAGCGUGUAGAUUCUAUUUCACACUCCCAAGGUCACUAAUGAGUCGAUAAGAAAACACUGGAGUGCAUUUAAGUUUUCUUAAUUGGAUGUGUAUUCCCCUGAGAAACCUUUGAAUGUCAGAUGAAUCUGCCAAUGAUUGGGAUUUGAAGACAUUCACAUUCACCCACACCGUUUGAUUAUAAUCAGGUCAUUCGGAAAGCCUUUACGUCAACCCACUAUAUAGCCUCACUAUAUUCAUAAAGUAGAAACCGCUCCAUACACUGAACCACUUCUUUCCUGUAUAUAAAAAAAUAAUUUAAAUAACAAACCAUAUGGGUAAAAAAUUAA